This 600-nucleotide unclassified non-coding RNA is filed under the name Hevea brasiliensis (rubber tree). Lineage: Eukaryota; Viridiplantae; Streptophyta; Magnoliopsida; Malpighiales; Euphorbiaceae. The record is from RNAcentral.
AACAAAUAGUGGUCAAGCCAUUGGAAUAAUAGAAAGCCCACAAGGCUUUGGUCCAAGGGUAAGAGCGUAGCGCAUGAUGUGUGGGUGCAGCCACCAACAAAAGCCAGGUAUGUAAGUAGGUAAAGAGCAAGACUAUUAUCCACCGAGUUUCAAACUGUGCGCUACUGGUCUGGUCCUCAGGGAAAGAAAAAAACUAGCAAACUCUUACAAGCAAGCAUUUCAUUCCUAGCACUUCUAUGCCAACCCUUGAUUCCUCCCUACAAAUUUGUAAACACUAAACCUAUAUGAUCAACAUAAUGUGAAUCACUGUGUGGCGUGAACUUGAGUUAGGACCAAAAAGGAAAAAGGAAAACUCAUGUACAAAUGGUAAUUUGCAUGUCUCAAUGUGCUAAAUCCACACUUGCAGUGCCAAUGCUUGCCUUGUCGACUACGCGUACGUUGUACAGCUCAUAAACUCUUGCACGGUUCUCUGCCCACCAUUUUUCUGCUUGUUUUUCGCUAAACCGCUUCCGACUGAAGCGAACCCUUUUAAGAUCUUUGACGCCUCCAGGUAGGGAGGUAAGAGUAAUAUAUACACCUGGCUCAUCUUGCUCAACCCAU